AAUAGAUACCCGGGUAGUCCACCCGUAACGUUGGGACUAGUUGUGGGGUCCUUUCCACGGAUUCCGUGACGCAGCUAACGCAUUAAGUUCCCCGCCUGGGGAGUACGGCCGCAAGGCUAAAACUCAAAGGAAUUGACGGGGACCCGCACAAGCGGCGGAGCAUGCGGAUUAAUUCGAUGCAACGCGAAGAACCUUACCAAGGCUUGACAUACACGAGAACACCCUGGAAACAGGGGACUCUUUGGACACUCGUGAACAGGUGGUGCAUGGUUGUCGUCAGCUCGUGUCGUGAGAUGUUGGGUUAAGUCCCGCAACGAGCGCAACCCUCGUUCUAUGUUGCCAGCACGUAAUGGUGGGAACUCAUGGGAUACUGCCGGGGUCAACUCGGAGGAAGGUGGGGAUGACGUCAAAUCAUCAUGCCCCUUAUGUCUUGGGCUUCACGCAUGCUACAAUGGCCGGUACAAAGGGCUGCAAUACCGUGAGGUGGAGCGAAUCCCAAAAGCCGGUCCCAGUUCGGAUUGAGGUCUGCAACUCGACCUCAUGAA
Molecule: ribosomal RNA, 545 nt
Filed under: uncultured bacterium
Lineage: Bacteria
Description: bacterial SSU rRNA
Rfam family: Bacterial small subunit ribosomal RNA
Source: RNAcentral